AUACGGAGGGGGCAAGCGUUAUUCGGAAUCACUGGGCGUAAAGGACGCGUAGGCGGGUUGGCAAGUCAGAUGUGAAAUCCUACAGCUUAACUGUAGAACUGCAUUUGAAACUGCUAACCUAGAGUAUGGGAGGGGGAGAUGGAAUUAGUGGUGUAGGGGUAAAAUCCGUAGAUAUCACUAGGAAUACCGAAAGCGAAGGCGAUCUCCUGGAACAUAACUGACGCUAAGGCGUGAAAGCGUGGGGAGCAAACAGGAUUAGAUACCCUAGUAGUCC
RNAcentral lists this ribosomal RNA (274 nucleotides) under uncultured bacterium. Its description in RNAcentral is "partial 16S ribosomal RNA". It matches the Rfam family "Bacterial small subunit ribosomal RNA", at positions 523 to 796 of the family's 1533-position model. The record is from RNAcentral.